This 273-nucleotide ribosomal RNA is filed under the name Heterixalus andrakata (Andrakata reed frog). RNAcentral describes it as "partial large subunit ribosomal RNA". It matches the Rfam family "Bacterial large subunit ribosomal RNA", at positions 2258 to 2590 of the family's 2925-position model. The record is from RNAcentral. Lineage: Eukaryota; Metazoa; Chordata; Amphibia; Anura; Hyperoliidae.
UUACUUGAUAGUUUUCGGCUGGGGUGACCCUGGAGAAAAACAAAUCCUCCAGGAUGAACGGAAUAAUAAUCCUAAUCAAAGAGCUACAGCUCUAUGAAUCAAAAUAUUGACAGAUUUGAUCCAAUUACUUGAUCAACGAACCAAGUUACCCUGGGGAUAACAGCGCAAUCCAUUUCAAGAGCCCCUAUCGACAAAUGGGUUUACGACCUCGAUGUUGGAUCGGGGUGUCCCAGUGGCGCAACCGCUACUAAAGGUUCGUUUGUUCAACGAUUU